Molecule: ribosomal RNA, 301 nt
Filed under: uncultured bacterium
Lineage: Bacteria
Description: partial 16S ribosomal RNA
Rfam family: Bacterial small subunit ribosomal RNA
Source: RNAcentral
CAGUCGCCGCGGGAAUACGAAGGGGGCUAGCGUUGUUCGGAUUUACUGGGCGUAAAGGGCGCGUAGGCGGACUGAUAAGUCAGGGGUGAAAUCCCAAGGCUCAACCUUGGAACUGCCUUUGAUACUGUUUGUCUUGGGUUCGAGAGAGGUAAGUGGAACUGCGAGUGUAGAGGUGAAAUUCGUAGAUAUUCGCAAGAACACCAGUGGCGAAGGCGGCUUACUGGCUCGAAACUGACGCUGAGGCGCGAAAGCGUGGGGAGCAAACAGGAUUAGAUACCCCGGUAGUCCCUGUCUCUUAUAC